ACGUAGGAGGCGAGCGUUAUCCGGAUUUACUGGGCGUAAAGCGCGUGCAGGCGGUGCGAUAAGUCGUGCGUGAAAGCGCCCGGCUCAACCGGGCGAGGACGUACCGAACUGCGGGACUAGAGGCAGGCAGAGGCGUGUGGAAUUCCGGGUGUAGUGGUGAAAUGCGUAGAGAUCCGGAGGAACCCCGGUGGCGAAGGCGACUUGCUGGGCCUGAACUGACGCUCAGACGCGAAAGCAUGGGGAGCGAACGG
This 251-nucleotide ribosomal RNA is filed under the name uncultured prokaryote. RNAcentral describes it as "partial 16S ribosomal RNA". It matches the Rfam family "Bacterial small subunit ribosomal RNA", at positions 525 to 775 of the family's 1533-position model. The record is from RNAcentral.